RNAcentral lists this ribosomal RNA (253 nucleotides) under uncultured bacterium. RNAcentral describes it as "partial 16S ribosomal RNA". It matches the Rfam family "Bacterial small subunit ribosomal RNA", at positions 524 to 776 of the family's 1533-position model. The record is from RNAcentral.
UACAGAGGUCCCGAGCGUUGUUCGGAUUCACUGGGCGUAAAGGGUGCGUAGGUGGUGAGGAAAGUCGGAUGUGAAAUCUCCGGGCUUAACCCGGAAAUGGCAUUGGAAACUACCUUGCUAGAGGUUUUGAGGGGGGACUGGAAUUCUCGGUGUAGCAGUGAAAUGCGUAGAUAUCGAGAGGAACACCGGUGGCGAAGGCGGGUCUCUGGGCCGAUAUUGACGCUGAGGAGCGAAAGCGUGGGGAGCGAACAGG